Molecule: non-coding RNA, 268 nt
Filed under: Ruminococcus sp.
Lineage: Bacteria; Bacillati; Bacillota; Clostridia; Eubacteriales; Oscillospiraceae
Description: T-box sequence
Rfam family: T-box leader
About the family: Uncharged tRNA acts as the effector for transcription antitermination of genes in the T-box leader family. T-boxes are found upstream of many aminoacyl-tRNA synthetase genes and some amino acid biosynthetic genes usually in Gram-positive bacteria.
Source: RNAcentral
AGAAAAGCGAGGAAGAGAAGGAGUAUGCGGCGAAAACCGGGUGCAGAGAGAAGAUGGAUGGUGCAAAUCUUUUCCGGCAGUUGCAGAAGUAGUCUCGGAGCUCUUUUUGGGAAGCGCAGUGCACUGCGUGGGUACUGAAAAGCGGGUGUUCCCGUUAUUGAACAGCAAUCGGCAGUUCGUUUGAAAUCUGUACGGUUGCAGGAGUGCGGACAGUAGAAUCCUGUCCGAAUCCAGGUGGUAACACGGACAAAGAUGGUUCGCCCUGGGC